CCUACGGGCGGCAGCAGUGGGGAAUAUUGCUCAAUGGGGGCAACCCUGAAGCAGCAACGCCGCGUGAGGGAUGAAGGAUUUCGGGAUGUAAACCUCUUUUUAUAGAGAAGAAAAUGACGGUACCUGACGCAUAAGCACCGGCUAACUCCGUGCCAGCAGCCGCGGUAAUACGGAGGGAGCAAGCGUUAUCCGGAGGUACUGGGCGUAAAGCGAGCGUAGACGGGUGAGCAAGUCAGUUGUGAAAUUCUACGGCUCAACCAUAGAACUGCAUUUGAAACUGUCAGUCUAGAGUACAGUAGAGGUAGGUGGAAUUCGUGGUGUAGCGGUGAAAUGCGUAGAGAUCAGGAGGAACACUGAUUGCGAAGGCGACCUACUAGAAUGUAACUGACGUUGAUGCGCGAAAGUGUGGGGAGCAAACAGGAUUAGAUACCCGGGUAGUC
RNAcentral lists this ribosomal RNA (440 nucleotides) under uncultured bacterium. Its description in RNAcentral is "partial 16S ribosomal RNA". It matches the Rfam family "Bacterial small subunit ribosomal RNA", at positions 338 to 795 of the family's 1533-position model. The record is from RNAcentral.